ACCCCCUUCAGCCUCCACCUACAUCUAAAGGGUUGCAGCAAGCUUUCUUCACCACAUUUCAUGCAUGCACCCCCUCUCGUUUUCUCGCUGUCUCCUUCAGACACACUCACACAUAUGCUGUCACACGAUUCAAAAGUACACUAGAUUACUCAACUCAGUCUUCUGGCACCACUAACUUUAUCUUCUCACAACUUUGGGAAACCAGCAACGCUGCGAGCGGUCUGCGAGCUUCCUGUCACUCGAGACAACACAACUUACAGUCGAAUGAGAUAGAGGCAAUACAGACUUCCUGUCACAUCUCCAGCGUGCGUUUGUAUAUUUGCAGUUAUAAACCUUUGGCUACGUUUAAGCCAGCGUGGAUGAUCCCGGAUACAAAUUUACCAAUGGAUCUGAUAAAAACUUCACAACUGCUUUAAAGUACAAGGAGUUUGACUGCAAAAUUCUGCCUAACUGUGACACCAAGCCAGUGGGAUUUUUCUACUCAGCGGGGAAUUUUCUAAGGAGGCAUGGCUGACGACGUCGAUUAUCAAGUAAACACUCCGACUGUGCUGACCCUUUUUUUCUGCCUGGUAGGCUUAAUUGUGUUGCUGAUCUUCUUGUACAUUAAGUUGAACAAGGAGGCCAAUGGAAAAUAUACGGUGCGGCGCAUGGUGUAUAAGGAAGGAGGGGUCAGGGACCGGGUGAGAGGGGCAGCGUUAGUUGUGGGGACGCGUCUCGGAGUCCAGCUGUGGCCUCAAAGUGAUACUGAUGAAGAUGGAGAGGAAAUGCAGGAAAUCCAAGAUGAGGAGGGUCAGGUGGAGGAUGGUGGUAGCAAGGGGAGUGACAGUGAGGGAGAUGACCGGGAGGAGGAUGAGGAGGAGGCUGAGGAGGAUGAGGAGCAAUGUGGUAAGGCAAAGGGAAAAGGAGGUGACUCUUCAGAUGAUAACUCAAGUCUGUUGAGUUCAGAGGCAGGGGAGCAAGUCAGUCUAAGGGAUCAGACAGAGGAGAAAGUGAGAGAAGGUAAAGGUGAAGCAAGUGGAGGGACUGGGUUGUUGGUAGAUCUAAAGCAGUUCUCUGGUAGUGCCAUCUGGUCUGAGGAAGAGGGGGGUUCAGGCAAGGACAAUGAUAUGACUGUACUGUGAGAACAGUAAUGAAAUACAAGGGAGGCUUAGGAAAUAAUACUGAGGUCAUGUGUCCCCUAAUUAGCUGUGAAAAUAGAUUUUCUGUGAAUUGUAUUUCCCCAACAUGAAAGUCUAAAUGCUGUUCCACACUGCCAGGAGCCAAAGUAGUCUAAAAAUACUGGAACCACCCUAUAAAACAGUUUUUAAUUGGAGAGUGUAGACUCCCCCAGGUUACGAAAACCCCAUAAAUCCCCCCCUAAAAAACACUGAAAACAGUGUCCUCAAUUGUAGCUACGGCUCUGGUUUUUAAUUCCACUUCCUGUUGAAGCAUCAGGAUAAAAAGGCCAUUGAUGAAUGAAGCUGUUGUGAAUACGCAGGAGUACACUGGAUUGGAUUUUGAAUGUUUGUGUACGAGUUUACCUUUUAUAAAGUAGUCAAAUCAAACUUUUGUAUUAUUGUGUCAGCCUAUUGCAUGCUGUAUAUUCUGUGUUUUUUUAUUGCUUUUUUUUGUAAUAUAUACUGAAAGUAAAAACAAAAAAACAAAAAUAGAUAUUACUAUUUCAUAUUACUGUGUUCAUAUUGUUCUCAAUGUCAUAUGUAGAGCUGAGUCCAUUAACUGAUUGAACGAUCCACAGAAAAGUUAUUUUUUAAGCAAAAAAAGACAACAUUUUAAUUUUAAUUUAGCUUCUCAAAUGUGAACUAAUGUUACAGUGUUGAAUAUUACUUAAUUACUUAAUAAACUUACCAUCAAGUGCCAUUUCAUAUGUUAGUUAAGCUACGUUGUGGCCUAUAGUGUGUAGUAAAAAUAUAGAUCAGUAGUAAUCAUCAUGUUGAAUGUACUGCAAAACUACAACAUUAAGCUCUAUAUAUCUUUAAAGGGUAUAAUGAUGACUCAUGAACUGAAGCUACAUUGACAUACAUGUAAAUAUAUGACCUACUUUACUCUGUUAAUGAAUGUAUUGAAAAGCGGUGCCAGUUCAUGAACAGUUUUGUUUUGCAAAAAUGUUUUCAUUUUAAGAUAUUGUACACUGUAAGAAAAUUCAUAAAAAAAUGACGUUUUCAUAUUAGUACUGCCUUUUUUUGUUGAGAUAACUAACAUUACAACACAUCAAAAUGACAUUAGUGGAGCUGAAACAGUCCAUUAAUUGAUUGAGCGAUCCUCAGAAAAGUUAUUUUUUAAACAAAAAAAUACACAAUUUUAAUUUUAAUUCAGCUUCUCAAAUGUGAUCUAAUGUGAUAGUGCUGAAUAUUUAACUUGUUUGGGACUGAGUCAAACUUACCAUCAAGUGCCAUUUCAUAUGUUAGUCAGGCUACAUUGUGGCCUAGUGUGUAGUAAAAAAAUAUAGAUCAGUAGUAAUCAUCAUGUUGAAUGUACUGCAAAACUACAACAUUAAGCUCUAUAUAUCUUUAAAGGAUAUAAUGAUGACUCAUGAACUGAAGCUUCAUUGACAUGCAUGUAAAUAUCUGACCUACUUUACUCUGUUAAUGAAUGUAUUGAAAGGCAGUGCCAGUUCAUGAACAGUUGUGUUGGCAAAAAUGUUUUCAUUUUGAGAUAAAUGUACACUGUAAGAAAAUUAAUAAAAAAGUGACAUUUUCA
Molecule: long non-coding RNA, 2697 nt
Organism: Sebastes umbrosus (honeycomb rockfish)
Lineage: Eukaryota; Metazoa; Chordata; Actinopteri; Perciformes; Sebastidae
Exons: 4
Source: RefSeq, a predicted model, not a curated record